This 69-nucleotide transfer RNA is filed under the name Oceanicaulis alexandrii. It matches the Rfam family "tRNA", at positions 5 to 66 of the family's 71-position model. Rfam says of the family: Transfer RNA (tRNA) molecules are approximately 80 nucleotides in length. Their secondary structure includes four short double-helical elements and three loops (D, anti-codon, and T loops). Further hydrogen bonds mediate the characteristic L-shaped molecular structure. tRNAs have two regions of fundamental functional importance: the anti-codon, which is responsible for specific mRNA codon recognition, and the 3' end, to which the tRNAs corresponding amino acid is attached (by aminoacyl-tRNA synthetases). tRNAs cope with the degeneracy of the genetic code in two manners: having more than one tRNA (with a specific anti-codon) for a particular amino acid; and 'wobble' base-pairing, i.e. permitting non-standard base-pairing at the 3rd anti-codon position. RNAcentral also lists the same sequence under 2 other names. Lineage: Bacteria; Pseudomonadati; Pseudomonadota; Alphaproteobacteria; Maricaulales; Maricaulaceae. The record is from RNAcentral.
CGGGUGUAGCUCAGUUGGUUAGAGCGCCGGCCUGUCACGCCGGAGGUCGCCGGUUCGAGCCCGGUCACU